GACGAACGCUGGCGGCGUGCUUAACACAUGCAAGUCGAACGGAAAGGCCCUGCUUUUGUGGGGUGCUCGAGCGGCGAACGGGUGAGUAACACGUGAGUAACCUGCCCUUGACUUUGGGAUAACUUCAGGAAACUGGGGCUAAUACCGGAUAGGAGCUCCUGCUGCAUGGUGGGGGUUGGAAAGUUUCGGCGGUUGGGGAUGGACUCGCGGCUUAUCAGCUUGUUGGUGGGGUAGUGGCUUACCAAGGCUUUGACGGGUAGCCGGCCUGAGAGGGUGACCGGCCACAUUGGGACUGAGAUACGGCCCAGACUCCUACGGGAGGCAGCAGUGGGGAAUAUUGCACAAUGGGCGGAAGCCUGAUGCAGCAACGCCGCGUGCGGGAUGACGGCCUUCGGGUUGUAAACCGCUUUCGCCUGUGACGAAGCGUGAGUGACGGUAAUGGGUAAAGAAGCACCGGCUGACUACGUG
This 468-nucleotide ribosomal RNA is filed under the name uncultured bacterium. Its description in RNAcentral is "partial 16S ribosomal RNA". It matches the Rfam family "Bacterial small subunit ribosomal RNA", at positions 28 to 507 of the family's 1533-position model. The record is from RNAcentral.